ACUCCUACGGGAGGCAGCAGUGGGGAAUAUUGCACAAUGGGCGCAAGCCUGAUGCAGCCAUGCCGCGUGUAUGAAGAAGGCCUUCGGGUUGUAAAGUACUUUCAGCAGUGAGGAAGGCGGGUACGUUAAUAGCGUGCUUGUUUGACGUUAGCUGCAGAAGAAGCACCGGCUAACUCCGUGCCAGCAGCCGCGGUAAUACGGAGGGUGCGAGCGUUAAUCGGAAUUACUGGGCGUAAAGCGCAUGCAGGUGGUUUGUUAAGUCAGAUGUGAAAGCCCGGGGCUCAACCUCGGAAUUGCAUUUGAAACUGGCAGACUAGAGUACUGUAGAGGGGGGUAGAAUUUCAGGUGUAGCGGUGAAAUGCGUAGAGAUCUGAAGGAAUACCGGUGGCGAAGCGGCCCCCUGGACAGAUACUGACACUCAGAUGCGAAAGCGUGGGGAGCAAACAGGAUUAGAUACCCUGGUAGGAUAGCG
This 472-nucleotide ribosomal RNA is filed under the name uncultured bacterium. Its description in RNAcentral is "bacterial SSU rRNA". It matches the Rfam family "Bacterial small subunit ribosomal RNA", at positions 335 to 799 of the family's 1533-position model. The record is from RNAcentral.